CUUCUAGCUCAAGGUGUUUCUUGACGCUGCAGACAAGAUGUCAGCUGGGCCCAUGGUCAUCUGGAGGCUACAGCUGCCCUCCCACGGUUCACUUGCAUGGCUGGCAAG
This is a long non-coding RNA of Sapajus apella (tufted capuchin), 108 nucleotides long. RefSeq lists it as uncharacterized. Lineage: Eukaryota; Metazoa; Chordata; Mammalia; Primates; Cebidae. The record is from RefSeq and is a predicted model, not a curated record. The transcript is spliced from 3 exons.